CAGCCCUCUCUCCUCCUCUUCAUCCUCUCACUCCUCAUCCUCCCCUCCCCUUGCCUCUUCCUAGUUCGAUGAGAUCGGCUCUGGGCCCUGCCGUGAGUUCUCGGUGCCGGCGACAGCGCUGCUGAAUAUGGCGUCAGACGGGAUGAUUUUAACGAACCACGACCACCAAAUCCGUGUCGGAGUCCUGACAGUGAGUGACAGCUGUUUUCGGAACCUAGCGGAGGACCGCAGCGGCAUCAACCUUAAAGAUCUUGUCCACGACCCCUCCUUGUUGGGGGGCAUGAUCGUGGCCUACAAGAUAGUGCCAGAUGAGAUAGAUGAAAUCAAGGAAACACUGGUGGACUGGUGUGAUGAGAAAGAACUCAACCUCAUUCUCACCACUGGGGGCACUGGCUUCGCCCCGAGAGAUGUAACACCAGAGGCCACUAAGGAGGUGAUAGAGCGGGAGGCACCUGGGAUGUCUCUGGCAAUGCUGAUGGGAUCCCUCAAUGUCACACCAUUAGGCAUGCUUUCCAGACCUGUGUGCGGUAUCCGAGGCAAGACGCUCAUCAUCAACUUACCAGGAAGCAAGAAAGGCUCCCAGGAAUGCUUUCAGUUUAUCCUCCCAGCGCUGCCACACGCCAUUGACCUCCUUCGGGACGCGGUGGUGAAGGUAAAAGAGGCGGUAGAUGAGCUGGAGGACUUGCCUUCGCCACCACCACCUCUUUCACCACCUCCCAACAGUUCACCGCGCCGCCAGACAGAAGACAAAGGUGUGCAGUGUGAAGACGAGGAUGAGGAGAAGAAGGACAGCGGGGUGGCAUCCACCGAGGACAGCUCCUCCUCCCACAUCACCGCCGCAUCCAUUGCUGCCAAGAUCCCAGACUCCAUUAUCUCGCGGGGUGUGCAGGUGUUACCCAGGGAUGCAGCCUCCCUCAGUACCACACCAUCCGAGUCACCUCGCGCCCAGGCCACCUCCCGUCUCUCUACUGCUUCCUGUCCCACACCCAAAGCGCGGCUUCCCUCCUGUUCAUCCACCCUAAGCAUUGCUGAGGCCUCACGGAGAGAAUUCAGGGCUCACCUGGAUGAGGUCAUCACGCUCAAGUCAAGGUACUCUACCUUGGACCAGCUCCAGUGUAGGUUGGAGGGGCUUAAAGAUGAUCGCAGGAGGACCUUCAGCUCUCGAGUGCAGUCACGAUGCAGCAGCAAAGAAAAUAUCCUUAGAUCAAGUCACAGUGCAGUGGACAUCACAAAGGUGGCCCGAAGGCACCGCAUGUCCCCUUUUCCCCUUACCUCCAUGGACAAGGCCUUCAUCACUGUGCUGGAGAUGACCGCCGUCCUGGGCACUGAAAUUAUCAACUAUAGAGAUGGAAUGGGUCGAGUCCUGGCUCAGGACGUUUAUGCCAAAGACAACCUUCCACCCUUUCCUGCUUCAGUAAAGGAUGGAUAUGCUGUGAGAGCGGCUGACGGCCCAGGUGAUCGCUUCAUCAUCGGUGAAUCCCAAGCUGGAGAGCAGCCUACCCAUACAGUGAUGCCUGGCCAGGUGAUGAGGGUGACGACGGGAGCUCCUAUCCCCUGCGGUGCAGAUGCUGUCGUCCAGGUGGAAGAUACCGAGCUCCUCCGCGAGUCUGAAGAUGGAACAGAGGAGUUGGAGGUCCGAAUUCUAGUACAAGCCCGUCCAGGACAGGAUAUCAGGCCUAUCGGUCAUGACAUCAAGCGUGGGGAAUGUGUGCUGGCAAAGGGCACCCAUAUGGGGCCUUCUGAAAUUGGCCUGUUGGCCACUGUUGGGGUCACAGAAGUGGAGGUCCAGAAAUUCCCUGUUGUAGCAGUCAUGUCCACGGGAAAUGAGCUGCUGAACCCAGAGGACGACCUCCAUCCUGGGAAAAUUAGGGACAGCAAUCGUUCCACCCUGCUCGCCACUAUCCAGGAACAUGGCUACCCCACUAUCAAUCUGGGAAUCGUUGGGGACAACCCAGAUGACCUUUUGAACGCUCUGAAUGAAGGCAUCAGUCGUGCUGAUGUCAUCAUCACCUCAGGAGGAGUGUCCAUGGGAGAGAAGGAUUACCUCAAGCAGGUGCUGGAUAUCGAUCUUCAUGCUCAGAUCCAUUUUGGUCGUGUUUUCAUGAAACCAGGUCUCCCAACAACAUUUGCCACCUUGGACAUAGAUGGUGCUCGCAAACUAAUCUUUGCUCUCCCAGGUAGAAACCCGGUGUCCGCUGUUGUCACCUGUAAUCUUUUUGUCAUCCCUGCUUUGAGGAAAAUGCAGGGUAUUUUGGACCCUAGGCCCACCAUCAUCAAAGCGAGGUUGUCGUGUGAUGUGAAGCUGGACCCUCGCCCUGAAUAUCACCGCUGCAUUUUGACGUGGCAUCACCAGGAGCCUCUGCCGUGGGCACAGAGCACAGGGAACCAGGUGAGCAGCAGACUGAUGAGCAUGCGCAGUGCCAACGGGCUCCUGAUGCUACCUCCAAAAACAGAGCAAUACGUGGAACUGCACAAGGGCGAGGUGGUCGACGUCAUGGUCAUCGGACGGCUAUGAUGUCGUCAGAGGGGGACGUGGGAUGACGUCACUUAUAGCGAGCGUUGGAAUGGGUGGUUCACGUGGAAAAAAAUCAGUUUUCUGAAAGUGAAGAAAACAUGGAAGGCUCCAGAUUUCGUAUGGUGCUCACUUCAGAGGAAAGAGGCCGCGUAUCAAGGCCACCUCGUCCUCUGAGGGCCCAUUAAGGUGACACUUCUGUUUUUCCCUCAUUAGUAUGCAUCAUAAUGGCUUCACAAAGAGCUUUGCUUGUUGUUUAUCUUGUGAGUCUUGUUUAUGUGCGCAGUGCCAAAUGCCUGGGCAGAAAGGAGGUGGUGUUGGGAGGAAGA
RNA transcript from Girardinichthys multiradiatus, 2841 nucleotides. It is a transcript of the gene named gephyrin b, with no coding region annotated. The transcript has 26 exons. NCBI's taxonomy places the organism in Eukaryota, Metazoa, Chordata, Actinopteri, Cyprinodontiformes, Goodeidae. The record is from RefSeq and is a predicted model, not a curated record.